AACUUACCAGGUCAAGACAUGGGCGUGAUUGACAGGCUAAUGACUUUUCUCGAUUCCAUGGAUGGUGGUGCAUGGUCGCACUUAGUUGGUGCAGUGAUUUGUCAGGUUUAUUCCGGUAACGAACGAGACCUCGGCCUUGUAAAUAGCUAUGCUGCUUACAGGGACAUUGGCGGCUACGCCAAGGAAGCUCGAGGCAAUUGCAGAUCUGGAAUGCCCUUAGAUGUCCUGGGUCGCACGCGUGCUACAAUGACGCCACGAACGAGCUUGCGUGAUGAAAGUUACGCAUAAUCAGCAGUCGGCGUCUUAAGGGAUAGUCUCUUGUAACUGUGGGACUCCAACUAGGAAUGUCUCGUAAGCACAAGUCAACAUCUUGUGUUGAUUACGUCCCUGCUCUUUGUACACACCGCCCGUCGCUCCUACCGAUCGAGUGUUUAGGUGAAUUUGAUGGACGUAAGGAAGUCAAAUAAACCUGAGCACUAGAGAAGAGAAGUCGAGCAUGC
This 500-nucleotide ribosomal RNA is filed under the name uncultured Myrionecta. Its description in RNAcentral is "bacterial SSU rRNA". It matches the Rfam family "Eukaryotic small subunit ribosomal RNA", at positions 1212 to 1799 of the family's 1831-position model. The record is from RNAcentral. Lineage: Eukaryota; Ciliophora; Litostomatea; Cyclotrichida; Mesodiniidae.